GAACGAAGCAUGGGACGUGCUCGUUGCGAAUCAGUUUCAAAUGGGUGAAAUGCAGGAGCAUGGAAAUGAUCAAUACGAGCAGCUACAGUUACUAUCUAACUCCAGGCCUCAUGAGCAAAUCUGCAACUGCAAGCGCAAAUAAGAGAUUGUAGGAAAUGGGGCUCCACAUGCUUGACCUAGCCACAAGCGGAAGGCAUAAUUGAGUUCAUGAAGCAGAUACAGGGCAGGCGUGGGAUUGUGGUAAACACCCAGCACGGAUACAUAUUGUGUCCAGGCUUUGCGAAAACGUUGUGCAGGAUUCGAGAGCGCAGUCGAAAACAGGUUGUGUGAUGAAGUUCCACUAGUGUGUGUAAGAGAUGAACUUGCCAUCUUGGCACUAUGAAACGUGCAAGUGGGAUAUGAGAUCUUAGUCGUUAAGCAACACUGAGGGAAAUUAACAACGAAGUGGAGAUGUUCCAGUGCAACAAAACCCAUAUCAGGAUAACCAUUUUGUGACCCCUAAGCUUAUUGAUAUUGCCUGGUUUCUAUUAUCUGAUCAAGGGUGCUGUCGUGCUCUCAUUCCAUCGCCUGUGUUGGUGUGAAAACAGGAACAUAUUCGAUACCGUGUAUUCUCGGGUGUGCUUGCUUAGAAAUAAAAGUACAAAUAAUUGGUUGUGCUCUAUUCGUGUGUCUACUCAGGAGUAGUU
Molecule: non-coding RNA, 686 nt
Organism: Physcomitrium patens
Lineage: Eukaryota; Viridiplantae; Streptophyta; Bryopsida; Funariales; Funariaceae
Source: RefSeq, a predicted model, not a curated record